UGGGGAAUAUUGCACAAUGGGGGAAACCCUGAUGCAGCGACGCCGCGUGAGUGAAGAAGUAUUUCGGUAUGUAAAGCUCUAUCAGCAGGGAAGAAAAUGACGGUACCUGAGUAAGAAGCCCCGGCUAACUACGUGCCAGCAGCCGCGGUAAUACGUAGGGGGCGAGCGUUAUCCGGAUUUACUGGGUGUAAAGGGAGCGUAGACGGCAAUGCAAGUCUGAAGUGAAACCCCAAGGCUCAACCAUGGGCAUGCUUUGGAAACUGUGUAGCUAGAGUGCAGGAGAGGCAGGCGGAAUUCCUAGUG
Molecule: ribosomal RNA, 303 nt
Filed under: uncultured bacterium
Lineage: Bacteria
Description: bacterial SSU rRNA
Rfam family: Bacterial small subunit ribosomal RNA
Source: RNAcentral